UGGGGAAUAUUGCACAAUGGAGGGAACUCUGAUGCAGCGACGCCGCGUGAACGAAGAAGGCUUUCGAGUCGUAAAGUUCUUUUAUAUGGGAAGAUAAUGACGGUACCAUAAGAAAAAGCCCCGGCUAACUACGUGCCAGCAGCCGCGGUAAUACGUAGGGGGCUAGCGUUGUCCGGAAUCACUGGGCGUACAGGGUUCGCAGGCGGAAAUGCAAGUCAGGUGUAAAAGGCAGUAGCUUAACUACUGUAAGCAUUUGAAACUGCAUAUCUUGAGAAGAGUAGAGGUAAGUGGAAUUUUUAGUGUAGCGGUGAAAUGCGUAGAUAUUAAAAAGAAUACCGGUGGCGAAGGCGACUUACUGGGCUCAUUCUGACGCUGAGGAACGAAAGCGUGGGUAGCAAACAGG
This 403-nucleotide ribosomal RNA is filed under the name Fusobacteriota bacterium. RNAcentral's name for it is "Fusobacteria bacterium partial 16S ribosomal RNA". It matches the Rfam family "Bacterial small subunit ribosomal RNA", at positions 355 to 776 of the family's 1533-position model. Lineage: Bacteria; Fusobacteriati; Fusobacteriota. The record is from RNAcentral.